Sphaerulina musiva SO2202 is the source of this 138-nucleotide non-coding RNA. NCBI's taxonomy places the organism in Eukaryota, Fungi, Ascomycota, Dothideomycetes, Mycosphaerellales, Mycosphaerellaceae. The record is from the annotation of a RefSeq genome assembly.
GGUCCUGUGGUCUAGUGGUUUAUGACAGCCGGGUGGGAGGCUUAACCCACCAUGGGCCUUGCCACCCCAUGGUGCCUGUUGCAGUGUUCCAGACACGCAUCAGACCGGAAAACCUAUGUUCGAUUCAUAGCAGGGCCA